CCGGCCGCGUCAUCGGCAAAGGUGGCAAGACGGUGAACGAACUGCAGAACUUAACGAGCGCAGAGGUCAUCGUGCCGCGAGACCAAACCCCGGACGAGAACGAGGAGGUCAUCGUCAAAAUCAUUGGGCAUUUCUUCGCCAGCCAGACCGCCCAGCGCAAGAUCAGGGAAAUCGUGCAGCAGGUGAAGCAGCAGGAGCACAAACACGCUCAGGGAGCCGCGGCCUCGCAGCACAGCAAGUGAGGCUCCCGCCAGCAGCGCCCGACGAAUGUAACCCCGCCGCUGCCGGAGCCCAGCGGGCCAGGGGCCAACCAAAGACCCCCGAGCCCCCCGGCAGCGCAGAGCCGGGGCACGGGGGGCUCUCUCCACCCCGCAGCUUCCGCCUUACUCCAUCGCCUCCCCCCUCGGCAGCUGGACUAACGCAGGCAGAGAGAGGUGGUUUUUAUUUUGGAAUUCUCCCCAGACCUGCCCAUUCCACCCCGGGAGGAGCUCGCCCGGCCUGGGGCGGGGGGGUGCUGCGGCGCUGGUUAAUUUAGAAUUAAUAUAUCAGUAACGAAACUAACGCCGAUUUUUAAGUUUUGUAAGGUUUUAUUUUUUAACUCACUUUUUAAAAAUUUUUUUUUGGUGGGGGAGGGGGGAGGGGGCUGUUUGUUUUUAGCAAAAGCAGGCUUUUCUAGAGGUUUAACAGCAGGAGCUGGUUCAUUGGUUCUCUAAUGCACCGUAGAGCAGAGCUGUAGGAUCGCCAGCAGGGAAAAUAAUACUAAAUAACUGUUAAAGAGCAAUUUCUGAAGGGCUUUGAGAACAGCAGGGCCUGUAGGAGCCAAGAAGAUUCCUCGUGUAGGAAUUACUCCUCUCCUUCACACACCUUUUCCUCUUUGCUUUGGACUCCAAAAGAAGGGUUUGCAUCCGCUCUGUCCCGCCUUUCUGUCUGUCUGUCCUCUCUCCAUCACUGCCCAGCGCUUACAUCCCUGGAAAAUGAUGGGCAGCACCAGCCCUGCCCACUUCAGACUGGGAUCUUUGGGGAAAGAUCCCUGUUGCAGGGAGAGGAGGGGGAAAUGGGUGAAAAACAUGGAUUUACAAGAGGUUGUCAGCCUGGGGCUGGAAAACCCAACCAGCAAGAUUGGCUUCAAAUGAAAAAUAACCCAAAUAACCCUCCCAACACACACACACACAGAAAAACUACCUCAGGUUUUCAUACCUCAGCACCUUGCGCUUGUGUUGCCCUUUUAGAGAUUUUUUGUAUGCCUUGUAAAACUGAUAGUUGGAGCAUUUUUUUUAUUUUUGUAAUAAAAAAAAAACGAGUUGGAAAAAUGAUCUCGACCAAGUCAGCUGCGAGGUGGAAGAAGGAAACCAACCCCCGUGUCCCAGAGCUCUUCCGUAGUCUCCUGCAAGCCGAGAGCCAGUGGCUGUUCCUUCGGAGAAAGCUUGAGAAGUGGUUAAAAAGAAAAGAAGAAAAAAGGGGGAAAAAAAAAAAAAAGCCAAACACACACACACAAAAAAAAGGGUUGAAGCAAAUCCAAGUGAUGGGUGGAAGUGGUGAAAGCCGACGGGCAAGAGCAGGGAUGGGAGCGGAGGUGCCGGUGCCAGCACCGCUCCCGUGGGCUGCGGAUCCGUGUUUUCCUCUACUGCAAAGUGUUCUGUGAAAACCAACCCGAGACACCGACAGAAAAAAAAAGAGAAAUAUAUCCAGCUAACCAGA
Long non-coding RNA from Hirundo rustica (Barn swallow), 1698 nucleotides. RefSeq lists it as uncharacterized. The transcript has 3 exons. Lineage: Eukaryota; Metazoa; Chordata; Aves; Passeriformes; Hirundinidae. The record is from RefSeq and is a predicted model, not a curated record.